RNAcentral lists this ribosomal RNA (478 nucleotides) under uncultured bacterium. Its description in RNAcentral is "bacterial SSU rRNA". It matches the Rfam family "Bacterial small subunit ribosomal RNA", at positions 35 to 507 of the family's 1533-position model. The record is from RNAcentral.
AUUGAACGGCUGGCGGCAUGCCUUACACAUGCAAGUCGAACGGUAACAGGUUAAGCUGACGAGUGGCGAACGGGUGAGUAAUAUAUCGGAACGUGCCCAAUCGUGGGGGAUAACGCAGUGAAAGUUGUGCUAAUACCGCAUAAGAUCUACGGAUGAAAGCGGGGGAUCGCAAGACCUCGCGCGAGUGGAGCGGCCGAUAUCAGAUUAGCUAGUUGGUGGGGUAAAGGCCCACCAAGGCGACGAUCUGUAGCUGGUCUGAGAGGACGACCAGCCACACUGGGACUGAGACACGGCCCAGACUCCUACGGGAGGCAGCAGUGGGGAAUUUUGGACAAUGGGCGCAAGCCUGAUCCAGCAAUGCCGCGUGCAGGAUGAAGGCCUUCGGGUUGUAAACUGCUUUUGUACGGAGCGAAAAGGCUCUCUCUAAUACAGAGGGCUCAUGACGGUACCGUAAGAAUAAGCACCGGCUAACUACGUG